RNAcentral lists this transfer RNA (76 nucleotides) under Actinomycetes bacterium. RNAcentral describes it as "Actinobacteria bacterium tRNA-Ala". It matches the Rfam family "tRNA". Rfam says of the family: Transfer RNA (tRNA) molecules are approximately 80 nucleotides in length. Lineage: Bacteria; Bacillati; Actinomycetota; Actinomycetes. The record is from RNAcentral.
GGGGCUAUAGCUCAGUUGGGAGAGCGCCUGGAUCGCACCCAGGAGGUCGCCGGUUCGAGCCCGGCUAGCUCCAUCA